RNAcentral lists this ribosomal RNA (496 nucleotides) under uncultured bacterium. RNAcentral's name for it is "partial 16S ribosomal RNA". It matches the Rfam family "Bacterial small subunit ribosomal RNA", at positions 29 to 507 of the family's 1533-position model. The record is from RNAcentral.
AUGAACGCUGGCGGCGUGCCUAAUCCAUACAAGUCGAGCGAACAGACGAGGAGCUUGCUCCUCUGACGUUAGCGGCGGACGGGUGAGUAACACGUGGAUAACCUACCUAUAAGACUGGGAUAACUUCGGGAAACCGGAGCUAAUACCGGAUAAUAUAUUGAACCGCAUGGUUCAAUAGUGAAAGACGGUUUUGCUGUCACUUAUAGAUGGAUCCGCGCCGCAUUAGCUAGUUGGUAAGGUAACGGCUUACCAAGGCAACGAUGCGUAGCCGACCUGAGAGGGUGAUCGGCCACACUGGAACUGAGACACGGUCCAGACUCCUACGGGAGGCAGCAGUAGGGAAUCUUCCGCAAUGGGCGAAAGCCUGACGGAGCAACGCCGCGUGAGUGAUGAAGGUCUUCGGAUCGUAAAACUCUGUUAUUAGGGAAGAACAAAUGUGUAAGUAACUAUGCACGUCUUGACGGUACCUAAUCAGAAAGCCACGGCUAACUACGUG